Molecule: ribosomal RNA, 253 nt
Filed under: uncultured bacterium
Lineage: Bacteria
Description: partial 16S ribosomal RNA
Rfam family: Bacterial small subunit ribosomal RNA
Source: RNAcentral
UACGAAGGGGGCUAGCGUUGUUCGGAUUUACUGGGCGUAAAGCGCACGUAGGCGGAUUGUUAAGUCGGGGGUGAAAUCCUGGAGCUCAACUCCAGAACUGCCUUCGAUACUGGCAAUCUCGAGUCCGGAAGAGGUAAGUGGAACUCCUAGUGUAGAGGUGGAAUUCGUAGAUAUUAGGAAGAACACCAGUGGCGAAGGCGGCUCACUGGUCCGGUACUGACGCUGAGGUGCGAAAGCGCGGGGAGCAAACAGG